RNAcentral lists this ribosomal RNA (367 nucleotides) under Enterococcus faecium. RNAcentral's name for it is "bacterial LSU rRNA". It matches the Rfam family "Bacterial large subunit ribosomal RNA", at positions 2561 to 2925 of the family's 2925-position model. Lineage: Bacteria; Bacillati; Bacillota; Bacilli; Lactobacillales; Enterococcaceae. The record is from RNAcentral.
GGGCCCAAGGGUUGGGCUGUUCGCCCAUUAAAGCGGMACGCGAGCUGGGUUCAGAACGUCGUGAGACAGUUCGGUCCCUAUCCGUCGCGGGCGUUGGAAAUUUGAGAGGAGCUGUCCUUAGUACGAGAGGACCGGGAUGGACUUACCGCUGGUGUACCAGUUGUUCUGCCAAGGGCAUUGCUGGGUAGCUAUGUAGGGAAGGGAUAAACGCUGAAAGCAUCUAAGUGUGAAGCCCACCUCAAGAUGAGAUUUCCCAUUUCUUUAAGAAAGUAAGAUUCCUGAGAGAUGAUCAGGUAGAUAGGUCAGGAGUGGAAGUACAGUGAUGUAUGGAGCGGACUGAUACUAAUCGAUCGAGGACUUAACCAAU